Molecule: ribosomal RNA, 490 nt
Filed under: uncultured bacterium
Lineage: Bacteria
Description: bacterial SSU rRNA
Rfam family: Bacterial small subunit ribosomal RNA
Source: RNAcentral
GAUGAACGCUAGCGACAGGCUUAACACAUGCAAGUCGAGGGGCAGCGGAGUGAGUAGCAAUACGAUCUGCCGGCGACCGGCGCACGGGUGAGUAACGCGUAUGCAACCUACCUAUCAGAGUGGGAUAGCCCAUCGAAAGAUGGAUUAAUACCGCAUAAAACAGUGGUUCCGCAUGGGACAAUUCGUUAAAGAAAUUCGCUGAUAGAUGGGCAUGCGUUCCAAUAGUUAGUUGGUGAGGUAACGGCCCACCAAGACAUCGAUGGAUAGGGGUUCUGAGAGGAAGGUCCCCCACACUGGUACUGAGACACGGACCAGACUCCUACGGGAGGCAGCAGUGAGGAAUAUUGGUCAAUGGGCGAGAGCCUGAACCAGCCAAGUCGCGUGAAGGAUGACUGCCCUAUGGGUUGUAAACUUCUUUUAUACGGGAAUAAAAAAGGGUAUGUAUACCCUAUUGCAUGUACCGUUAUGAAUAAGCAUCGGCUAACUCCGU